Molecule: ribosomal RNA, 253 nt
Filed under: uncultured bacterium
Lineage: Bacteria
Description: partial 16S ribosomal RNA
Rfam family: Bacterial small subunit ribosomal RNA
Source: RNAcentral
UACGUAGGGGGCGAGCGUUGUCCGGAAUCAUUGGGCGUAAAGCGCGUGUAGGCGGCUCGAUAAGUCCGGUGUGAAACCUUGGGGCUCAACCCCAAGCCUGCACUGGAUACUGCCGAGCUAGAGUCCGGGAGGGGAGAGCGGAAUUCCUAGUGUAGCGGCGAAAUGCGCAGAUAUUAGGAAGAACACCGGUGGCGAAGGCGGCUCUCUGGAACGGUACUGACGCUGAGACGCGAAAGCGUGGGGAGCGAACAGG